GACGAACGCUGGCGGCGUGCCUAACACAUGCAAGUCGAGCGGAGACAGUGAGUAGCUUGCUAUGAACUGUUUUAGCGGCGGACGGGUGAGUAACGCGUGAGCAACCUUUCCCAGACAGGGGAAUAACACACCGAAAGGUGUACUAAUACCGCAUAAGACCACGGGAUCACAUGGUUCCGGGGUAAAAGAUUUAUCGGUUUGGGGUGGGCUCGCGUCCGAUUAGGUAGUUGGUGAGGUAACGGCCCACCAAGCCGACGAUCGGUAGCCGACCUGAGAGGGUGAUCGGCCACAUUGGGACUGAGACACGGCCCAAACUCCUACGGGAGGCAGCAGUGGGGAAUAUUGGGCAAUGGGGGGAACCCUGACCCAGCAACGCCGCGUGGAGGAA
This 388-nucleotide ribosomal RNA is filed under the name uncultured bacterium. RNAcentral's name for it is "bacterial SSU rRNA". It matches the Rfam family "Bacterial small subunit ribosomal RNA", at positions 28 to 409 of the family's 1533-position model. The record is from RNAcentral.